Molecule: long non-coding RNA, 2935 nt
Organism: Equus caballus (horse)
Lineage: Eukaryota; Metazoa; Chordata; Mammalia; Perissodactyla; Equidae
Source: Ensembl
CACCCUGCCUUGUUCUAUUACCAAUUGUUCCCUUUGCUCAGGUGUCCUUCUCCAAGCAUGCUUCUGCCAGAGGAACCACAGGCCACAGAAGUGUACACUUCACCGGUACAGUCACACACAAAGAAGAGAAACUCUGCCAUGACCAGAUGCAGUCAAUCAAGAUGCUGAGCAGUUUUCAUUACUCAAUAGUUCCCAAGCGAGGUUAACAUACAAUCUCCCCUCUCCUACCUCAUCCUUUUGAAAUAAAAUUGUGAUGACUUAUGGGACAAGAAGCAGCCUACAGAGAACCAAAAGGACAAUGUAGAAUUGAGGAAAUUGUUACUCCUUUUUUGCUGUGAUUUCCAUGAAAUUAUUCAUGAAUCUUUUUUUUUUCCUAGGGGGAGUGACCAUAAAUAUCAUCUGUAAUGCAUCUUCAUUAGUAGCUUUCAUCUCUGACAGGGCCUGUGUCUUUUGUUGGGAGCUAAAUGUUGCUGGUAGAAAUGCGAGCCCACGUCUUGGGUGUACAGCAUUUGUGUAAAAUAUGAACUCUAAUGUGUAGAAUUUGCAGGUCGCUGAAGUGUCACAGUCUACUGAAACGGUCUGGAAUCAAUAAGUGGAGGUGACGGCCCCCUAAGAAAAUCAGAAGAGACAUGAGCACAUUGAAGAUCUAAAGGAGAACAAAGUGUUUUCAGUUACACACCAGCAGGACUUCCCUCUUUGCACACCCCUGGAGUCUCUUCCAAGUGGAAAAUCACACUCUGUCCUUCGCUGGAGAGCAAAAAGGGAAGGCCAGUAAAACAAGGCCCCUCCUGGACUUGGCCAGCCCCUGCCCCCAUCCCCUGCUGCCCCAACUAAGAUCCUGGGCCAACGAGAUAAAUGGAAGGUUCAGCUCUUGCAGCUGACACGGGUGGGGGGCAGAAGCCCACUCUGGGCACUUCCAGCCGACACUGACCUUUCAGUCAUGGAAACAUUCCCCAGACCGACGCUAAUCGGGGGCACAUCUGGCGUUUGGACUGCAUCCAGAUGGGGGUUGUGUUAGUCGAGUCAGCACGAUAACCCACUGGGGAGGCAGGAGAGGGGAGAGUGCAAGGCUGCUGAGAGCAAUCAACAUCUUUGGCUGGGUAUGUGAGACGUGGCUGUGCUGUAGCUGGUGAGUCAUAGAAUAGAGACCACCUAAUCCCUGUCCACCCACUCUCCCUACCCCCACCAAGAGAGGAGAAAACUGGAGAGACCCAGAAAGCCAGAGAAACUUCCCCAAGGCUCCACAACUGGCCAGGGCAGUCUCAAAUCCCAGUGUCCCAAAUCACAUAAUCAUGCACUUCCCAUGUUUCUGCACUCCCUCAAAGUGUAGUGUAGUGCUCAUUAUCUCAAGAUAAUAUGUGGGCUAAGGUGAUGAAAAGAAUCCGGUUGUUUCUUCUCUGCUAACUCCCUGUGAUUUGCAAACGUAUAGGACAAUUUUCCAAGGCAAGGACAAAGCCCUUGGUAUCCAUCCCCCAUGCCUGUCCUCCCACUCUAAUUCUUCCAUUGUAGUUUCUUUCUUGGAUGCGGAAGGAGGGGCGGCCCUUCCUGACUGGUUCCCGGACUUCUAUCAGAAAUGAACACAACACUUUAUCUCUCAUCCCCAGGACAAGAGACGGCAAUUGGGAACAAGACCUCAUGGUAUUGAAGGUCCAGCCACACAGUUAGGACUGACGAAGGAUCUUGGCCAGCUCUCAGUGUCUGCCUUUACAAAGCCUGACACCUGUUGCAGCCAUGAAGAGUACUGCUAAGGAGGUAAUUAAGCAAACGAAAGCCGGGAUAAAAGGGAUUAUGUCCCCACCUACCCACACAGAAGGUCGUCUCCAGCUGUCUGAAGGAAGUUCUUUCCACGCCCUGGAGUGUACUCCCCACUCGUAGGCACUGCGUUUCAUCUACCCAGUGAUCCUUUCCUCUAUAAACCUCCAGGCACAGAUAAUUAUGGAAAUCAGGAAUCUCAUCCACCUGCUCAAAUCACAAAGCAAUUAGCAAGAUCUUCUAAUAUAAAAACUGCAGAGAUCUAUUCAUCCUUCUUCCUUUGUUGGUUACAAAUGUGAAAAGAAACAGGGAAAUAACCAAGGUAAAAACAAGACCCUAUCAAUGGUCAGUUUCCCAAAGUAAGUUCCAGUUCCUCCAGUACCUAACCACUGUGCAGAACUCUCAAGCACUGUACUUUUCCUUCUACAUCCAGCCUCUAUGCAAAGGGCAACUGUCAUCCACCAUCUAGUCAAUUUUGUCCUCUUCUGGAACAAUCAGAAAGGAAAACUACCUUCACUCCAAAUCAAGAUAUUUCACUCCUACCCACCUGAAGAUCACCCCCACCCCUAACCCCUCAUUUCCAUUGUCCUAUCUGAGAAAUAGCCUUUAUCCACCCCUGAUGGGCAAGACGGUUGUCACUGAGCCAGAAGAAUGAUUCUCCUCCUCCCUUUAGGGGACAGCUUAUCAGUUUCGCCCUCCUCGGAAGGAUUGUGUGACACUUCACAAGCUCUCCAGGUCUCUGAGCAGGAGCUCACAGACACCAUCACUCUAUCUAGAGCAAGUCAGGGUCUCUGCUGGUGCCAAUCCUUUUUCCCCCUCGAUGAUUUGGUACAAAGCCAUUGCAUGUUCCAUGCCAAACCAGUAAUUCACAACACUCAUCAAAAUCUGUCUCCAUCACCUGACUCAGCAUUCCUGCUUUCUGAGUAUAGCCAGCCUCCCUAACACCCUGACAUCCUAGCCUCAGCUUCACUAUUUACAUCACAUGAGACCUUUGGGCUUAGAAAGUCCAAUUCCCUUUGGAUGAAGUAUGCAGAUGAUUCAUCCUCUCUGAGAAGUCUGCUCACCCUGGGCCUUGAUAUCUAUGCCAAAACGCUUCUGAGAUGGCUCUCAGAGAGGACAGAGUGGAGAAGUCCUGUUGCUGUGGAAACCAGUGUGCCAGUUUCCAAAUAAGAGAGACUAGCUG